CUCUGACUUUUGAGUCUCAUCUUGGAUAACAGGACUCAGCCAAAUAUGAAGAUCCUUGUCUUUGCCUUUAUCAUGGCUCUCAUGGUUGCCAUGAUCGGAGCUGAUUCAUCUGAAGAGGCUUGGUGGAAAGUCCUAUUUGCUGUCUUUCAUGAUGAUUCUUCCUAUUCAAAUGUCCUUUACCCACCUAGCAAAAUUUUGUAGCCCGG
Felis catus (domestic cat) is the source of this 206-nucleotide long non-coding RNA. RefSeq lists it as uncharacterized. Lineage: Eukaryota; Metazoa; Chordata; Mammalia; Carnivora; Felidae. The transcript has 4 exons. The record is from RefSeq and is a predicted model, not a curated record.